GGGUAUUUUAGCUGUUUGAGCCUCUCCCCUCGGGCACUGAGAUGACUGCAAGAAGGGUGGUGGAGAAGAACUCUUCAGGCAGAGUGAGAGGGAAACGCCCUGGCUCUGUUUGUCAAAAGCUUUCUUGGUGUGGAUUCAGCUGUAAGAAUCAGUGCCUCCUAGAGGGCCCCAUUUCCCAAAGGAAUUGAGAACCCAGUUGCACAAUUAUCAGCUCUGUGCUUGGUCCUCUUACUGCUUUAAAGAUAUUUCUGGUAUGAUUAAGGAAUAAUCAACAGAAUGAAAGUUCUCUGGGUCAGGUCCUAGUUCUGGAACAUGAUUAAUUCAUUGCUUGUGAAGACAUAGUGCAAUUUUCAAUACUACAAAAUAUAGUAAUAAAUAAACAAGGCUGCUGCAGUUCUGAUAUUGGUUGAGAAUUAAUCAUGAAUUCCAGCUUGUGAAUUAGAACUGGCAGGCUGUGCAAGAGUUUCAAAUCUAGUGCAAUGUAUCUCCUGGGAGCUAUUUCAGCUUUUCUAGUUAUGCGGCAGCACUGAUGUUGAUUGUAUAAGAAGCCAACAGAUUCCAGAGGAAAAGAACUGCGAGGCCAGAUAUAGUAAAUCAGAAAGUUAUUCCACGUUACAGAAAACAUUUGGGAACACUGUUGGUUACUUCUCACCUGUGAAAAUUUAACCUUUAGUUGGACAAUCGUUAUAGUGCCUGAUUAUCUCCUUUGGAAUAAAAAACUCCACCCAAUAAACAAUGAGUUGGCCAAUCA
Molecule: long non-coding RNA, 751 nt
Organism: Pogoniulus pusillus (Red-fronted tinkerbird)
Lineage: Eukaryota; Metazoa; Chordata; Aves; Piciformes; Lybiidae
Exons: 2
Source: RefSeq, a predicted model, not a curated record